Oreochromis aureus is the source of this 843-nucleotide long non-coding RNA. RefSeq lists it as uncharacterized. NCBI's taxonomy places the organism in Eukaryota, Metazoa, Chordata, Actinopteri, Cichliformes, Cichlidae. The record is from RefSeq and is a predicted model, not a curated record. The transcript has 3 exons.
CCCAUGCAAAGAAACUUUUAACUAAAGGUAUUUUGAAUGUCAUGACAUGUGCAGAAGAGCACAAAUUUUCAUCUGUUGCCAUUCCAGCACCGAGCUCUGGAAUAUUCAACUUUCCAGUCUCAAUUUGUGCUGAUGUUGUAGUCACCACAAUCAAAAAGUACAUUAAACAUAAGAACCCCACAAGUCCUCCAUUUGAAAUACACCUGGUAAACAACGAUGAUCCAACCAUGAAGGAAAUGGAAAGGGCCUUCAAAGAGAUCCUUUUGGAGCCACUCUCUGAUGUCAGGAGGACAGGGCCAGAGGAUUCUCCAUCUACACUGGAAAGGACAGAGCACCUUGAGAGAAACACAACCGGUCUGACAAAGGACACUGCAUCACAGGUCGCAUAUUUGUGGAAACAACAGGAAACGGAAGUUGUUGUUUCUGUGGUCCCAUCUCAGAUUAGAGGUAACAACUUUCUCAUACGUCACAGUGAGUUCCUGACCCUUAGACCACACAGCUGGCUUGUUGGAGAGGUAUGUGAUCCAGGUAUUAACCCCCCUUCCCCCCAAAAGUACUGCAUAAGGUUAACAUUAAAGCUGGGGCAGAACAUUAGUUGUUCCCUACACAUCUAGUAAGUACUGCUUUAGAUCUACAUUCCAGGCAUAUCCUCAUGACUGAAUACUGAGUAUACGUAAGUAAAAAACUCUUUAUUAACCUUUGUAUUCAAAAAAUUUAUCAUGUUUACAAAGUAAUAAAAGUUUAUUUAUUAUACUCCUCAGGUCAUUGAAAGUCUCCUGUACCACUGGGCCAUUCGGCUGAAUCUGGGGAAUAAUAUCUACAUUAUGAACCACUACACCAGCG